RNAcentral lists this ribosomal RNA (478 nucleotides) under uncultured bacterium. Its description in RNAcentral is "partial 16S ribosomal RNA". It matches the Rfam family "Bacterial small subunit ribosomal RNA", at positions 29 to 507 of the family's 1533-position model. The record is from RNAcentral.
AUGAACGCUGGCCGCGUGCUUAACCCAUGCCAGUCGAACGAAGCACUUAAGAUUGAUUCUUCGGAUGACGUCUUUUGUGACUUAGUGGCGGUCGGGUGAGUAACGCGUGGGUAACCUGCCUCACACAGGGGGAUAACAGUUAGACAUGACUGCUAAUACCGCAUAACCCGAUAGGAUCGCAUGAUCCAGACGGAAAAGAUUUAUCGGUGUGAGAUGGACCCGCGGCGGAUUAGCUAGUUGGUGGGGUAACGGCCCACCAAGGCGACGAUCAGUAGCCGGCCUGAGAGGGUGAACAGCCACAUUGGGACUGAGACACGGCCCAGACUCCUGCGGGAGGCAGCAGUGGGGAAUAUUGCACAAUGGGGGAAACGCUGAUGCAGCGACGCCGCGUGAGUGAAGAAGUAUUUCGGUAUGUAAAGCUCUAUCAGCAGGGAAGAAAAUGACGGUACCUGACUAAGAAGCCCCGGCUAACUACGUG